ACGUAGGGGGCAAGCGUUAUCCGGAUUUACUGGGUGUAAAGGGAGCGUAGGCGGCAAGGCAAGUCUGAUGUGAAAACCCGGGGCUCAACCCCGGGACUGCAUUGGAAACUGCUUAGCUAGAGUGUCGGAGAGGUAAGUGGAAUUCCUAGUGUAGCGGUGAAAUGCGUAGAUAUUAGGAGGAACACCAGUGGCGAAGGCGACUUACUGGACGAUAACUGACGCUGAGGCUCGAAAGCGUGGGGAGCAAACAG
Molecule: ribosomal RNA, 251 nt
Filed under: uncultured prokaryote
Description: partial 16S rRNA
Rfam family: Bacterial small subunit ribosomal RNA
Source: RNAcentral